GAUGAACGCUGGCGGCGUGCUUAACACAUGCAAGUCGAACGGAAAGGCUCCUGCUUGCAGGGGUACUCGAGUGGCGAACGGGUGAGUAACACGUGGGUGAUCUGCCCUGCACUUCGGGAUAAGCCUGGGAAACUGGGUCUAAUACCGGAUAGGACCACAUUUUAGAUGGUGUGGUGGAAAGUUUUUCGGUGUGGGAUGAGCUCGCGGCCUAUCAGCUUGUUGGUGGGGUAAUGGCCUACCAAGGCGUCGACGGGUAGCCGGCCUGAGAGGGUGUACGGCCACAUUGGGACUGAGAUACGGCCCAGACUCCUACGGGAGGCAGCAGUGGGGAAUAUUGCACAAUGGGCGCAAGCCUGAUGCAGCGACGCCGCGUGGGGGAUGACGGCCUUCGGGUUGUAAACUCCUUUCGCUAGGGACGAAGCGUUUUUGUGACGGUACCUGGAGAAGAAGCACCGGCUAACUACGUG
Molecule: ribosomal RNA, 467 nt
Filed under: uncultured bacterium
Lineage: Bacteria
Description: partial 16S ribosomal RNA
Rfam family: Bacterial small subunit ribosomal RNA
Source: RNAcentral